This 294-nucleotide ribosomal RNA is filed under the name Salmonella enterica subsp. enterica serovar Tennessee. Its description in RNAcentral is "partial 23S ribosomal RNA". It matches the Rfam family "Bacterial large subunit ribosomal RNA", at positions 1272 to 1567 of the family's 2925-position model. The record is from RNAcentral. Lineage: Bacteria; Pseudomonadati; Pseudomonadota; Gammaproteobacteria; Enterobacterales; Enterobacteriaceae.
GCUGGAGGUAUCAGAAGUGCGAAUGCUGACAUAAGUAACGAUAAAGCGGGUGAAAAGCCCGCUCGCCGGAAGACCAAGGGUUCCUGUCCAACGUUAAUCGGGGCAGGGUGAGUCGACCCCUAAGGCGAGGCCGAAAGGCGUAGUCGAUGGGAAACGGGUUAAUAUUCCCGUACUUGGUGUUACUGCGAAGGGGGGACGGAGAAGGCUAUGUUGGCCGGGCGACGGUUGUCCCGGUUUAAGCGUGUAGGUGUGUGUUCCAGGUAAAUCCGGUUCACUUUAACACUGAGGCGUGAU